This 466-nucleotide ribosomal RNA is filed under the name Vreelandella stevensii. RNAcentral describes it as "partial 16S ribosomal RNA". It matches the Rfam family "Bacterial small subunit ribosomal RNA", at positions 338 to 795 of the family's 1533-position model. The record is from RNAcentral. Lineage: Bacteria; Pseudomonadati; Pseudomonadota; Gammaproteobacteria; Oceanospirillales; Halomonadaceae.
CCUACGGGGAGGCUGCAGUGGGGAAUAUUGGACAAUGGGCGAAAGCCUGAUCCAGCCAUGCCGCGUGUGUGAAGAAGGCCUUCGGGUUGUAAAGCACUUUCAGUGGGGAAGAAAGCCUUGGGGCUAAUACCCUCGAGGAAGGACAUCACCCACAGAAGAAGCACCGGCUAACUCCGUGCCAGCAGCCGCGGUAAUACGGAGGGUGCGAGCGUUAAUCGGAAUUACUGGGCGUAAAGCGCGCGUAGGCGGUCUGAUAAGCCGGUUGUGAAAGCCCCGGGCUCAACCUGGGAACGGCAUCCGGAACUGUCAGGCUAGAGUGCAGGAGAGGAAGGUAGAAUUCCCGGUGUAGCGGUGAAAUGCGUAGAGAUCGGGAGGAAUACCAGUGGCGAAGGCGGCCUUCUGGACUGACACUGACGCUGAGGUGCGAAAGCGUGGGUAGCAAACAGGAUUAGAUACCCGUGUAGUC